ACGGAGGGGGCAAGCGUUGUUCGGAAUUACUGGGCGUAAAGAGCACGUAGGCGGUUUAACAAGUUAGGCGUGAAAGCCCUAGGCUCAACCUAGGAAUUGCGUUUAAUACUGUUAGACUAGAGAUCGGGAGAGGGUAGCGGAAUUCCAAGUGUAGAGGUGAAAUUCGUAGAUAUUUGGAAGAACACCGGUGGCGAAGGCGGCUACCUGGACCGAUACUGACGCUGAGGUGCGAAAGCGUGGGGAGCGAACAGG
This 252-nucleotide ribosomal RNA is filed under the name uncultured bacterium. Its description in RNAcentral is "partial 16S ribosomal RNA". It matches the Rfam family "Bacterial small subunit ribosomal RNA", at positions 525 to 776 of the family's 1533-position model. The record is from RNAcentral.